RNAcentral lists this long non-coding RNA (747 nucleotides) under Homo sapiens (human). Its description in RNAcentral is "HSALNT0354426". The record is from RNAcentral. Lineage: Eukaryota; Metazoa; Chordata; Mammalia; Primates; Hominidae.
GUACUUUUUGCUUUGCCUAAUUUUGGCUCGUUGGUAAUGGUAAUAGUGUAAAUGUGUUUUUCUUUUUAUUAUAACCCAAAUGUUGGAACUCAUCGGAGAAAUCCAUACAUCUAAAAAUCAAUGCAAAAUACAAAAGUCUAACUCAAAAACAUUUAAAAAAUGAUGAUCCUUACUAUUGUUUUCUUGUGAAGAUGGGGGAAGGGUUUCAGUGCAUACGUUAGAACAAAACUCCCUAAAAGUCCUCUAAUUCUACCAGUGCACCUCAUUCAGACAUUCAUCAAGAAAAAGGCCAGCUGAAGGCAGACAGCCAACAAAACUCAGUCGUUAGCCACAGCCCUGGCUGUCCUCGUCCAUCAAGCCUGCCCAUUGUGAGCUUCCAUUCAUCUUACCUGUCUGUUAUGGAAGAGUGAAGUGGAAAAGGCAUGGAGGACUCAGAAGACCUGCUACCGAGAAGAGCCCCAUUGCAAUCAGAAGAUUAUUUAUGGAAAAAAGCAAAAUGGAGAUAUUUAAAAGACGGAGAGAGACAGCAGAAAGCUGCUUAAGAAAUUGCUUUGAGUCCACAGGAGGGAAGCACAAAGGAGAUGGGAUAAUAGUGUUAUACACUACAUGAUAUCACAGAGCUGGCAGAGUUAAUGAGUAUCUUGGACAAUUGCACCAAAUGCAAUGGAUUGGGAUCACUAAAUCAAGACGUAAUUUGAUAGAAAUAAAGGGAUGGGUUCUUGCUCUGUUACCCAGGCUGGAGCACAG